UACGUAGGGGGCAAGCGUUGUCCGGAAUCAUUGGGCGUAAAGCGCGUGUAGGCGGCCCGGUAAGUCCGCUGUGAAAGUCGGGGGCUCAACCCUCGGAUGCCGGUGGAUACUGUCGGGCUUGAGUGAGGAAGAGGCGAGUGGAAUUCCUGGUGUAGCGGUGAAAUGCGCAGAUAUCAGGAGGAACACCGGUGGCGAAGGCGACUACCUGGCCUGUUCUUGACGCUGAGGCGCGAAAGCUAGGGGAGCAAACGGG
Molecule: ribosomal RNA, 253 nt
Filed under: uncultured bacterium
Lineage: Bacteria
Description: partial 16S ribosomal RNA
Rfam family: Bacterial small subunit ribosomal RNA
Source: RNAcentral